This 484-nucleotide ribosomal RNA is filed under the name uncultured bacterium. Its description in RNAcentral is "partial 16S ribosomal RNA". It matches the Rfam family "Bacterial small subunit ribosomal RNA", at positions 28 to 523 of the family's 1533-position model. The record is from RNAcentral.
GACGAACGCUGGCGGCGUGCUUAACACAUGCAAGUCGAACGAUGAAGCUGCAGCGUGCUCCGGUGGCUUAGUGGCGAACGGGCGAGUAACGCGUGAGCAAUCUGCCCUCGAGUCGGGGAUCACUUCGGGACACAGUAGCUAAUACAGGAUACCUUCACGGGAAGGCCUCUUCUGGUGAAGAGAGACUUUCGGUCAAGGAUGGGCUCGCGGCCGAUCAGGUUGUUGGUGAGGUAUCGGCUCACCGAGGCGACGACGGGUAGCCGGGCUGAGAGGGUGACGGGCCACACUGGGACUGAGACACAGCCCAGACUGCUUCGGGAGGCAGCAGUGGGGAAUAUUGCACAAUGGGCGCAAGCCUGAUGCAGCGACGCGGCGUGAGGGAUGAAGGCCUUCGGGUUGUAAGCCUCUUUUAGCAGGGAAGAGGCGAAAGUGACGGUACCUGCAGAAAAAGCACCGGCUAACUACGUGCCAGCAGCCGCAGUAA